GAUCCUGGCUCAGGAUGAACGCUAGCUACAGGCUUAACACAUGCAAGUCGAGGGGCAGCAUGGUCUUAGCUUGCUAAGGCCGAUGGCGACCGGCGCACGGGUGAGUAACACGUAUCCAACCUGCCGUCUACUCUUGGACAGCCUUCUGAAAGGAAGAUUAAUACAAGAUGGCAUCAUGAGUUCACAUGUUCACAUGAAUUAAAGGUAUUCCGGUAGACGAGUGGGGAUCG
This 230-nucleotide ribosomal RNA is filed under the name uncultured bacterium. RNAcentral describes it as "partial 16S ribosomal RNA". It matches the Rfam family "Bacterial small subunit ribosomal RNA", at positions 15 to 235 of the family's 1533-position model. The record is from RNAcentral.